AAAGAAGUUGUUAUUCUGGUAAGGAGGGAACUGCCAAGCAAAUAUAUUGUACCCAUCCCAGUUUGCAUUUCAGUAUAAUAUCAAAUACUUGGCUCUUUAUUUCUAUUAAAUAAACUCUUUUCUUUAUGUGAAACAGGUUCAACCAGAAGAACAACAACAUCAACCCACUGAAACCAUCUGCGAGCAACCAGUUCCACCUACUGGGAAUGUUGUCUCUCAAGACAACCCGGAGCAGAUUGUGGGGCUUGGAGAUAACACCUUCCAAGAACAAACAGAAGAUGAAACUGGCGUGGAUAUUCACCAGGAACCAGUUGCACCUACUAGUAAUGUUGUCGCUCAAGAACCCCCAGAGCAGAACAGACAACAAACUUACAUCUUUG
Molecule: long non-coding RNA, 380 nt
Organism: Xenopus tropicalis (tropical clawed frog)
Lineage: Eukaryota; Metazoa; Chordata; Amphibia; Anura; Pipidae
Exons: 6
Source: RefSeq, a predicted model, not a curated record